AGCACAUACUAAACAUAACUAAACAUAACAUUUGACACAACCUGGAAAAAUGAUCAACAUACUUGUACAAUAAAUACAAAAGUAAUUUAUAAAAUGGGCAGAUGUGUAUAAAGACUCCCUGGAUGGAAUAUUUGGUAUAUUAACAUAACAUUUAUUUACCAUCAUUCAACUCCUGCAAAAUUUUGUAUAUCAUCAUAAAAUUCCUUUGAUUAUUAGUUUACAACAGAUUGAAUAUUCUCUUUUGAUAUUUCUUUUUUGAUCAUUUUACUUAUGAUUUAUUCUCUAUAUUAACAUUAGAAU
This 300-nucleotide long non-coding RNA is filed under the name Mytilus galloprovincialis (Mediterranean mussel). Lineage: Eukaryota; Metazoa; Mollusca; Bivalvia; Mytilida; Mytilidae. The record is from RNAcentral.